RNAcentral lists this ribosomal RNA (656 nucleotides) under Acinetobacter baumannii. Its description in RNAcentral is "bacterial SSU rRNA". It matches the Rfam family "Bacterial small subunit ribosomal RNA", at positions 1 to 648 of the family's 1533-position model. Lineage: Bacteria; Pseudomonadati; Pseudomonadota; Gammaproteobacteria; Moraxellales; Moraxellaceae. The record is from RNAcentral.
AAAUUGAAGAGUUUGAUCAUGGCUCAGAUUGAACGCUGGCGGCAGGCCUAACACAUGCAAGUCGAGCGGUAGCACAGAGAGCUUGCUCUCGGGUGACGAGCGGCGGACGGGUGAGUAAUGUCUGGGAAACUGCCUGAUGGAGGGGGAUAACUACUGGAAACGGUAGCUAAUACCGCAUAACGUCGCAAGACCAAAGUGGGGGACCUUCGGGCCUCAUGCCAUCAGAUGUGCCCAGAUGGGAUUAGCUAGUAGGUGGGGUAACGGCUCACCUAGGCGACGAUCCCUAGCUGGUCUGAGAGGAUGACCAGCCACACUGGAACUGAGACACGGUCCAGACUCCUACGGGAGGCAGCAGUGGGGAAUAUUGCACAAUGGGCGCAAGCCUGAUGCAGCCAUGCCGCGUGUGUGAAGAAGGCCUUCGGGUUGUAAAGCACUUUCAGCGGGGAGGAAGGCGAUAAGGUUAAUAACCUUGUCGAUUGACGUUACCCGCAGAAGAAGCACCGGCUAACUCCGUGCCAGCAGCCGCGGUAAUACGGAGGGUGCAAGCGUUAAUCGGAAUUACUGGGCGUAAAGCGCACGCAGGCGGUCUGUCAAGUCGGAUGUGAAAUCCCCGGGCUCAACCUGGGAACUGCAUUCGAAACUGGCAGGCUAGAGUC